Molecule: ribosomal RNA, 42 nt
Filed under: Fusarium sp. PB1-R10-A(2) Lr
Lineage: Eukaryota; Fungi; Ascomycota; Sordariomycetes; Hypocreales; Nectriaceae
Also listed under: 1 other name
Description: partial 17S ribosomal RNA
Source: RNAcentral
UGAAGUAAAAGUCGUAACAAGGUCUCCGUUGGUGAACCAGCG